AAUAUGUGAGAAGUUAAUUUUAGAAUGCAGGCACCAAAACAUGAAACUGACAGUGUCUAGGUUUGUUAAUCAAGGGCCAUAACUCAGUAAAAAUCCUUG
Thalassophryne amazonica is the source of this 99-nucleotide long non-coding RNA. RefSeq lists it as uncharacterized. The record is from RefSeq and is a predicted model, not a curated record. NCBI's taxonomy places the organism in Eukaryota, Metazoa, Chordata, Actinopteri, Batrachoidiformes, Batrachoididae. The transcript is spliced from 3 exons.